Molecule: long non-coding RNA, 840 nt
Organism: Phyllostomus discolor (pale spear-nosed bat)
Lineage: Eukaryota; Metazoa; Chordata; Mammalia; Chiroptera; Phyllostomidae
Exons: 3
Source: RefSeq, a predicted model, not a curated record
CUUGGAGCACCAGCUGUGAGUUACAAACUGGGAACCCAAAGGUGGACAAGUCAUGGUCACAACUCUUGAGGAAUUCAGCGGCUCCUCUGAUUACUGGAGGCCACUCUGCUGGUGUGUCCUCAAGCUGCAAGCCCCAGAAUUUCCAGUGUCUGGAAGCAGCCCUCAGCCAAGCUUGAUGGGAUUUGAUGACGCUAAGAAAAUAAUGGUGAUGAACUCAUUUGCAGGUCUCAGGCAAUGAUGGAAAACUUAUUUGGAUUCAAAACCAAAACAUCAUUUUGAAUUGGAAAGAUGCUGUGUAUGUAUACAGACAUAUGCAUUUUAGAAUCAAGAAACUGAAAAUGUCAAAAUAUGGCUAUCUCUUCAGAGCUAUGUUGAACCCAAAGAAGAUGAUUAUUUGCAAAUGGCACCCCUGCCCAGAAUUUUGCUGGCAGGAGGUAUAAGAUCCCACUGGAAGCAGUGAACUUCACCUCCCACCAGGAAAGUCUGGGGCUAAGGGUUUAGUACAAUAGGGUCAUACAAAAUAUCCUGUGCCAACUAUUUUAACUAGUAUGAAAAUAGUUCAAUUUGAAGAUGUAUAAAACUUUACGUAGGAGUUUAGCUAAGAAAUAAUCUCUCAUCAUCUCCAUUUUCUUUCUUUUAUGGGGUGUUUUGGCAGAACCUCUUCUGACCAUAAACAAGCAGGGCUAAAGGGGAGAUCAUUUUAGGGCCAUUACCUGUGUUCUUUCUCUUGAGGAAAAAUAUGGAAAGAGUCCAGCAUUCCUCAUUCAUAGUUCACUUUCCAGUGUGUAACAAUCCAUCCAAGGCUCAUCUUUUCAAGUGCCCUCUGGAUUUGUAGGGGAG